Molecule: ribosomal RNA, 479 nt
Filed under: uncultured Planctomycetota bacterium
Lineage: Bacteria; Pseudomonadati; Planctomycetota
Description: bacterial SSU rRNA
Rfam family: Bacterial small subunit ribosomal RNA
Source: RNAcentral
UUUCGCAAUGCCCGAAAGGGUGACGAAGCGACGCCGCGUGCGGGAAGAAGGCCUUCGGGUUGUAAACCGCUGUCGGGAGUUAAGAAAUGUAAGGAUGUUAAUAGCAUCUUUGCUUGACUAAGGCUCCGGAGGAAGCCAUGGCUAACUCUGUGCCAGCAGCCGCGGUAAUACAGAGGCGGCAAGCGUUGUUCGGAAUUAUUGGGCGUAAAGAGCACGUAGGCGGCUAUGUAAGUCGGUUGUGAAAGCCUUCCGCUCAACGGGAGAACAGCAUCCGAUACUGCAUGGCUUGAGUGCGGGAGGGGAGAGUGGAACUUCUGGUGGAGCGGUGAAAUGCGUAGAUAUCAGAAGGAACGCCGGCGGCGAAAGCGGCUCUCUGGCCCAUAACUGACGCUGAGUGUGCGAAAGCUAGGGGAGCAAACGGGAUUAGAUACCCCGGUAGUCCUAGCCGUAAACGAUGGGCACUAAGUAGAGGGGUUUUA